Molecule: ribosomal RNA, 253 nt
Filed under: uncultured bacterium
Lineage: Bacteria
Description: partial 16S ribosomal RNA
Rfam family: Bacterial small subunit ribosomal RNA
Source: RNAcentral
UACGUAGGGUGCAAGCGUUGUCCGGAAUUAUUGGGCGUAAGGAGCUCGUAGGCGGUUUGUUGCGUCGGCUGUGAAAUCCCGAGGCUCAACCUCGGGUCUGCAGUCGAUACGAGCAAACUAGAGUGUUGCAGGGGAGACUGGAAUUCCUGGUGUAGCGGUGAAAUGCGCAGAUAUCAGGAGGAACACCGGUGGCGAAGGCGGGUCUCUGGGCAACAACUGACGCUGAGACACGAAAGCGUGGGUAGCAAACAGG